RNAcentral lists this ribosomal RNA (501 nucleotides) under uncultured bacterium. RNAcentral's name for it is "partial 16S ribosomal RNA". It matches the Rfam family "Bacterial small subunit ribosomal RNA", at positions 30 to 523 of the family's 1533-position model. The record is from RNAcentral.
AUUGAACGCUGGCGGCAUGCCUUACACAUGCAAGUCGAACGGCAGCACGGGUGCUUGCACCUGGUGGCGAGUGGCGAACGGGUGAGUGAUACAUCGGAACGUACCUUAUCGUGGGGGAUAACGCAGCGAAAGUUGCGCUAAUACCGCAUACGCGCUGAGGGGGAAAGCGGGGGACCGUAAGGCCACGCGCGAUUAGAGCGGCCGCUGUCUGAUUAGCUUGUUGGUGAGGUAAAAGCUCACCAAGGCGAUGAUCAGUAGCUGGUCUGAGAGGACGAUCAGCCACACUGGGACUGAGACACGGCCCAGACUCCUACGGGAGGCAGCAGUGGGGAAUUUUGGACAAUGGGGGCAACCCUGAUCCAGCAAUGCCGCGUGAGUGAAGAAGGCCUUCGGGUUGUAAAGCUCUUUUGUCAGGGAAGAAACAGCAGCUCUAACACAGUCUGCGAAUGACGGUACCUGAAGAAUAAGCACCGGCUAACUACGUGCCAGCAGCCGCCGCCG